CGAUCUGUUGCGGGCAGAUGAAAUGGAUAUGGCUGUCGAAACCGCCCGCGGUCAGGAUGCGCCCCUCGCCCGCGAUGGCCUCGGUCCCCGGGCCGACGAUGAUGUUGACGCCCGGUUGCGUGUCGGGAUUGCCCGCCUUGCCGAUGGCGGCGAUGCGCCCGUCCUUGAGGCCCACAUCGGCCUUCACGAUGCCCGUAUGAUCGACGAUCAGCGCGUUGGUGAUGACCGUGUCGACCGCGCCCUCGGCACGGGUGGUCUGGGCCUGGCCCAUCCCGUCGCG
Molecule: small RNA, 280 nt
Filed under: marine eukaryotic metagenome
Description: 5' ureB small RNA
Rfam family: 5' ureB small RNA
Source: RNAcentral